Molecule: long non-coding RNA, 1893 nt
Filed under: Panax ginseng (ginseng)
Lineage: Eukaryota; Viridiplantae; Streptophyta; Magnoliopsida; Apiales; Araliaceae
Description: long non-coding RNA (PGIN_LNC009985)
Source: RNAcentral
AAUUUUGAACAAUUUUGCCCCCAAGUCAAGCCUAAGUCAACGAAUAAGUUUAACCUCGUCCGCAAAAAAUCCUAAUGCGAUUUCAUGAACCCUAGUGAUGUGAAAUCGAAUUGGGGUUGUUCACAAUUGUAGCUAAUUGAAGUUGUGAAAUCAAAUUGGGGCAAAAGUACUAGUAAUCUGAUUUCCCAAAGCUGUUGCUGCGAUUUUCAGAACAACCAUAUUUCGCAAUUGAAGGCAGAUCGGCAACAAAUUGUGCAAAUUUGAUAUCGUUUGACCAAAAUUUGUAUUCUACAUCAACCUAAUCAGCAUUUAUUCGGUAAGUUCUUUACUCAAUAUGUUUUUAGAAUUACCAUACCCAUUAGAUUAGUUUUAUCAUAUAUGGGUAUUACUAUUCUGAUUGGUAUAUGACAAAAUUAAUCCAUUGUCUUAUAUAUAUACCUUGUUUUUACUUUGGCUUUUAGUUUUCUUGGUGUGUUAAGUAUUGUUGAAGUACCGGCAUGUUUGUUUCAUUUGUGUUUGAUUCUUAAUUAUAGUAGCAACAUUACAUUUUUAGGAACUAUUUAUUGUUGAAUGUAGCUCAAGUUUAAGGUAAAAGAUUGGCUUAGUACUGCUUGUUGUUUCUGCUUAUUAGUAUGUUCCUGAUAUUGGAAUGUAAUAUUUUUUCUUCAUGUUAUUGUAGAGACAAUUAAGUAUAUGUAUGUAACAAUUUUUGCAUUCAGAUUAUUUAAACCAGACUUUGUUUUAUCUGGUUUACAAAAUCUAAUUUUUGCUGAACUCAGUAUCACUUUUGACAGACUGUUAAUCUUUGAAGUUGCUCCCCUUUUUUCCCUCAAGUUGUUGUUAAAUUAAAAUAUAUGUCAAAUUGUGAUAAAAAUUAAAUUAAAUGAAAAACAAAAUUCUAGAACAGUCUUGUGCUUCGCUCAAUGUACUAAGUAGAUGGUGUUUGGAACAGGUGUCUUUGUUCUGUUUUGUCGAUUCUUGUUCUCUAUAUUGCUCUGUGUAGCACGUCUGUUCUCCCUGUAAAUUUCAGUUAAAUAAUUGUUUACGUAUGAAUUUGUUUCCAAUUUGUUAGUGAUUUUGCGUUUUUUCCCCCUUUAACAUAUCUUUUUUUGACAAGUGUUAUCGAUUAUAAAUAUUUGGUGAACACUUUAUGGAUCAAGUACUUUAUUUAAUAUAAGUACUGUUCUGACUGUUCAGUACUUUGUUAAGGUUGUGAACAGAAGGGUGAUAAAUAGAAGUUGUACUGAUAAGUAAUGUCAGGAUAACUUUAUUGAGAAUUGGACAUGCAAUUGAAACUUUAACUUCUUAUGUCUCUAAUUAUGAAUUGCACAAUGAAUUUGUUAAUUGAGGACCAUAUAGUGUCCUAUAAUUGUUGCUCAACUUUAGUUGCUUGCUAAUAGAUCAUCAAAUUUUAAUUGUAGAAUUUUGGAUGAAUUUGUCCAUUAACAUUUUUACUUGUAGUUCAUGUAAUUAUUUUUAUGUCUAAUGCUAGUGUAUUGAGUUCUAUUAAAAACUUUUUAUUACUUUUUGUUUGAAUAGUUUCAAAUUUUAUUCUCAUAUGCUCAAAAUGUUAGUAAUUAUGUUCAUCUGUUGUCAUUGUUAUUAUCCACACUGUUGGUUUUCACACUAAUUUUUUUUGAUGGUUAUGGAUAUCAUGGAUCGUCAUUUGAGCAAUCUUAUAGAUGCUACCCUGCAUCCUUUAUAAAAUGCAGUGUGAAUAUCUAAUUUUUCUUUUGAAUUUGUUCCAGUUAUAAGCAACGCAUUGAAGAACUCCAAAUCUUUCUUACCAUCGUCUUCUGAGAAUUCAUCCGAUGAUUCUUUGCUGUCGGAAUCUUUGGAAUCGUCAAUAACCCUUUCUUCUUGAGCUCGUCUAAUCGCUGAAAAUCCUUGCGU